This 375-nucleotide ribosomal RNA is filed under the name uncultured bacterium. Its description in RNAcentral is "bacterial SSU rRNA". It matches the Rfam family "Bacterial small subunit ribosomal RNA", at positions 521 to 896 of the family's 1533-position model. The record is from RNAcentral.
UAAGACGAACCGUGCGAACGUUGUUCGGAAUCACUGGGCUUAAAGGGCGCGUAGGCGGGCCGGCGAGUCCGGGGUGAAAGCCCCCAGCUCAACUGGGGAAGCGCCUCGGAUACUGCCGGCCUCGAGGGGGGUAGGGGCGUGCGGAACUUCCGGUGGAGCGGUGAAAUGCGUAGAUAUCGGAAGGAACACCGGUGGCGAAAGCGGCGCGCUGGACCCCUUCUGACGCUGAGGCGCGAAAGCCAGGGGAGCAAACGGGAUUAGAUACCCCGGUAGUCCUGGCCCUAAACGUUGGGCACUAGGUUGUGGGCUUACAUGGGCUCACAGCCGGAGCAAAAGUGUUAAGUGCCCCGCCUGGGGAGUAUGGUCGCAAGGCUG